This 443-nucleotide ribosomal RNA is filed under the name uncultured fungus. RNAcentral's name for it is "SSU rRNA". It matches the Rfam family "Eukaryotic small subunit ribosomal RNA", at positions 796 to 1238 of the family's 1831-position model. Lineage: Eukaryota; Fungi. The record is from RNAcentral.
UCUAGAUUUUAGCAUGGAAUAAUAAAAUAGGGACUUUGGUUUUAUUUUGUUGGUUUUAAGACGCGAAGUAAUGAUUAAUAGGGUCAGUUGGGGACAUUAGUAUUUAUUCGUCAGAGGUGAAAUUCUUGGAUUGAAUAAAGACUAACUUCUGCGAAAGCAUUUGUCAAGGAUGUUUUCAUUAAUCAAGAACGAAAGUUAGGGGAUCGAAGACGAUCAGAUACCGUCGUAGUCUUAACCAUAAACUAUGCCGACUAGGGAUCAGACAAUGUUCAAUUAUGACUUGUUUGGCACCUUAUGAGAAAUCAAAGUUUUUAGGUUCCGGGGGGAGUAUGGUCGCAAGGCUGAAACUUAAAGGAAUUGACGGAAGGGCACCACCAGGAGUGGAGCCUGCGGCUUAAUUUGACUCAACACGGGGAAACUCACCAGGUCCAGAAUCGGAUCCC